AUGCCUGGGAGGGGUAGCGGCGGUCACUGUGGCCGCUGGCGGGAUCCUCGAACAGGUGGCGAAGGCAAUUCUCUACAUCAUCAACCGCAGGGAGAUCGCCUGCCUGGAGUGUGGCAAGUUGAAGCAGCCCGAGAAGAUGCGCGGAGACACUUCGACAAGCAUCGGUGGGUUGAAUUUUCUUUUCUCAGACUCGCGAUUCGUGGCGCGGUGAACAUUUCCUUUCUUGAUGCGGACAAGUCAGAGGCCGAGAAGGCCGCACUGAAGGCCGAGUACGAUCGCAAGCUCGCCGAACAGCAGCUAAAGAUGGAAGAGCUCAGGAGCAAGGAGAGACAUGAUAUGUGGGUACAUCUCGCCUCGUUCCUCGACUACCAGGCACGAUGCCAGAGAGACUGGUUUGAGCAGGCCAAGGCCAAGGAAAGGGACCAGAAGAAAGCUCUGGCUCUGGAGGAACACAUCAGCAACGCGGAAACAGGGAAGAGACGCUGCAAGGGGAGCAGGGGCCACCCAUACUGA
Molecule: ribosomal RNA, 513 nt
Filed under: Triticum aestivum (bread wheat)
Lineage: Eukaryota; Viridiplantae; Streptophyta; Magnoliopsida; Poales; Poaceae
Description: partial small subunit ribosomal RNA
Source: RNAcentral